This 137-nucleotide ribosomal RNA is filed under the name Noctiluca scintillans. Its description in RNAcentral is "partial Eukaryotic large subunit ribosomal RNA". Lineage: Eukaryota; Dinophyceae; Noctilucales; Noctilucaceae. The record is from RNAcentral.
UUGGAGAGUUUGGUAGGGACGGGUUGCCCGUUGAACGAUAUCCCUGGUGUCCCAGUUUGAGCUCACCGAGAAGAGUACUCUCAGCUCCAACAGGGAGAUAAGCACGCUUGAGUUCUCAUUCUCAAUAAGUCUUUUCA